This 33-nucleotide non-coding RNA is filed under the name unclassified sequences. RNAcentral describes it as "DUF805b RNA". It matches the Rfam family "DUF805b RNA". Rfam says of the family: Bacteroidetes, Chlorobi (1 example), Proteobacteria. Lineage (Flavobacteria) The record is from RNAcentral.
AACAGGGAACCCGAAAACUGAAUAGAGUAGGGG